ACGGGGUAGUAAUGUGUCGGAACGUGCCCAGAGGACGGGGAUAGCGGCGGGAAACUGCCGGUAAUACCCGAUGAUCUCGAGAGAGCAAAGGUGUGAUUCCGCCUUUGGAGCGGCCGACAUGGUAUUAGCUAGUUGGCGGGGUAACGGCCCACCAAGGCUGUGAUGCCUAGGGGAUGUGAGAGCAUGAUCCCCACCAUCGGGACUGAGACACUGCCCAGACACCUACGGGUGGCUGCAGUCGAGAAUCUUCGUCAAUGGGCGAAAGCCUGAACGAGCGACGCCGCGUGCGGGAUGAAGGCCCUUGGGUUGUAAACCGCUGUCGAGGGGGAUGAAGGCUGGAAGGUACUCCUUCCAGUUUGACAGAGCCCUGGAGGAAGCACGGGCUAAGUUCGUGCCAGCAGCCGCGGUAAUACGAACUGUGCGAACGUUAUUCGGAAUCACUGGGCUUACAGGGUGCGUAGGCGGCUAUUCAGGUCAGGUGUGAAAGCCCUCGGCUCAACCGAGGAACUGCGCUUGAAACCGGAUGGCUCGAGUCAACUAGAGGUGCACGGAACUUCCAGUGGAGCGGUGAAAUGUGUUGA
This 581-nucleotide ribosomal RNA is filed under the name uncultured bacterium. Its description in RNAcentral is "bacterial SSU rRNA". It matches the Rfam family "Bacterial small subunit ribosomal RNA", at positions 102 to 694 of the family's 1533-position model. The record is from RNAcentral.